UACGAAGGGGGCGAGCGUUGUUCGGAAUUACUGGGCGUAAAGGGCGCGUAGGCGGCCGAUCAAGUCAGAUGUGAAAGUCCUGGGCUUAACCUGGGGACUGCAUUUGAUACUGAUUGGCUUGAAUGCAGGAGAGGAUAGCGGAAUUCCCAGUGUAGAGGUGAAAUUCGUAGAUAUUGGGGAAGAACACCGGUGGCGAAGGCGGCUAUCUGGACUGUGAUUGACGCUGGAGGGCGCGAAAGCGUGGGGAGCAAACAGG
RNAcentral lists this ribosomal RNA (256 nucleotides) under uncultured bacterium. Its description in RNAcentral is "partial 16S ribosomal RNA". It matches the Rfam family "Bacterial small subunit ribosomal RNA", at positions 524 to 776 of the family's 1533-position model. The record is from RNAcentral.